GACGUCAGCAUGGCCGCGGCGCCUGACUACCCAGCUCGCUUCUAUCCCUCGAGCGGCAGGAAUCCGUCCCCACGCCCUUUUCCUUUAAAGGGCAACGGGCCGAAGGUGGGGCGGGCGGCGCGGCUCCCGCGAUCCAUUCAGGUCAAAAGGGAGAGUGAUCAAACAGGAGAGCCGAGGGGACCUAUAUUCAGAGACUUAACUGGACACCUGGACAGACCAUUACAACUUGGGACUUUUCAGGAGAAUGAGGGAAAUAUAGUUAUUGCACCUGAGCCUCACUCCAGCUCUGAGGUCCUCUUCACUUCUCUUUGGAAGAAAAUUGGAUAUCUUUUCCUAGUUGAAAGAGUAGAGAUCUGAUUUCUCCAAGGAUCAUCGCUUUUUGACACGGGAUUAUUAGAAGCAUUCAUUCAUCUAUCAAGGAGUUUUGGGAUACUUGCCAUAAGCCAAGCCCUCUGAUAGGUGCUGGAAACAUCAAGCUCUGUGCCCAGGAAGUUCAUCCUUGGACUCCACGCAUGAACGACUUUGCUGUCUUCCCAUUGGAUUCAGCCAGUCCGCGGUCCUGGAAGAGGAAAUACUUUCCCAGACAAAUAAAAGCUGAGGAAUAUCAUCAACAUCAGACCUGUCUUACAAAAAAUGCUAAAGGGAGUUCUUCAAUCCAAAAGAAAAAGAUGUUAAUGAGCAAAAAUAAAUCAUCUGAAGGUGCAAAACUUGCUGGUAAUUGUAAGUACAAAGAAAACACAGAAUAUUAUAACACUGUGACUUACAUGCUGUGGUGUGUAAACUACUCAUAUGUUAAGUAAAAAGACUAAAAUAUAAAUCAAUUAAAAUAAUAAUUGCAACAACUUUUCAAGACAUAGGCAGUACAAUAAGAUACAAAUAGGAACAACAAAAUGUUAAAAAGCAGAUUGACACAGUUAAGGUGUAAAGGUUUUAUUAGUUUUCCCUUUGCUUCUUUGUUUAUGCAAUCAGUGUUUAGUUGUCAUCAGUUUAAAAUAAUGGUUAUAAGAUAUUAUUUGCAAAUCUCAUGGUGACCUCAAAUCAAAAACAUACAACGGAUACAUGAAAAAUAAAAAGGAAGAAAUUAAAACAUACCACUGGAGAAAAUCACCUUUACUAACAGAAAGACAGGAAGGAAGGAAAGAAGGAAGAGAAGACCACAAAACAACCAGAAAACUCACAAUAAAAUGGCAGGAUUAAGUCUUUAUUUAUCAACAAUAACAUUGAAUGUAAGUGGAUUAAACUCUCUGAUCAAAAGACAUAGAGUGGCUAAAUGUAUAACAAAACAAGACUCAAUAAUCUGUGGCCUACAAGAAACACACUUCACCUAUAAAAACACAUAUAGAUUAAAAAUAAAGGGAUAGAGAAAGAUAUUCCAUGGAAACAGAAA
This 1387-nucleotide non-coding RNA is filed under the name Pan troglodytes (chimpanzee). The record is from RNAcentral. Lineage: Eukaryota; Metazoa; Chordata; Mammalia; Primates; Hominidae.